This is a long non-coding RNA of Oncorhynchus tshawytscha (Chinook salmon), 798 nucleotides long. The record is from Ensembl. Lineage: Eukaryota; Metazoa; Chordata; Actinopteri; Salmoniformes; Salmonidae.
UGUUAUCUCAGAGACUCCCUGUGGAGCUGGCUGGGUGAAUUAAAUCAUUUGGAUAUAGCACAUAGGGUCCCUUGGGUUACUGUCUAGCUAACAAGCUUUAAAAAAACCAUCUCCAUUGAAUAGAAUAUGGAUGGCCAUGGCAUUAUGCUUCUGCACUUUACAGUGGGGUUUUAAAACCACACACAUGAAAUGUUCUGUUCCUCUGCGAUACUCGGGCUGAUAGGUCCUGUUCCUCUGCGAUACUCGGGCUGAAACAUCUUGUUCCUCUGCGAUACUCGGGCUGAAACAUCCUGUUCCUCUGCGAUACUCGGGCUGAUAGGUCCUGUUCCUCUGCGAUACUCGGGCUGAUAGGUCCUGUUCCUCUGCGAUACUCGGGCUGAAACAUCCUGUUCCUCUGCGAUACUCGGGUUGAUAGGUACAUAAUAUGGUAAUUAUUUUAGCUGUACCCCGAUCCUAAUAAAGGUAGUGAAAAGUUAAGCUGUUCCAGUACGAAACUUGACAGCUUGAUUCAUAAGCAUGGACCUUGAACAGAGUUUGACAGCUUGAUUUCAGAGGCGUACCACACAAUCGUGGCCAUCAGUGAUGAGGCAACAGCCCCUAGGCAACAGUUUGGCGAGUGUUUCUGAAUCUGCUGAUGAUGCAAUUGACAACUUCUAGAUAAUAUAAACUAGUUGUAUUCUAUAAGUGGACUACUGUGUGUUUUGUGAUCAUAUGGUGUUUGCUCAUUUCAGACUGUUUCACUGAUGUGAAAAAACAUGUAAAUUGAAAUGUACUUUUCUCUCUCCCUCCCUUUUUCAG